UCAGACAUGCAAGUCGAACGCGAAAGGCCCCUUCGGGGGCCGAGUAGAGUGGCGUCCGGGUGAGUAACACGUAGGUAAUCUACCUCUGGGUGGGGAAUAACGACCGGAAACGGUCGCUAAUACCGCAUAAUGCAGCGGCACCACAUGGUGACAGUUGUUAAAGCGGGGGAUCGCAAGACCUCGCGCCUAGAGAGGAGCCUGCGGCGGAUUAGCUAGUUGGCAGGGUAACGGCCUACCAAGGCAACGAUCCGUAGCCGGCCUGAGAGGGCGGUCGGCCACACUGGCACUGACAUACGGGCCAGACUCCUACGGGAGGCAGCAGUCGGGAAUUUUGGGCAAUGGGCGAAAGCCUGACCCAGCAACGCCGCGUGAAGGAUGAAGCUUCUCGGAGUGUAAACUUCAUAAGAAUGGGACGAAUAAGUGGGGGAUAAUACCCCCCAUGAUGACGGUACCAUUUGUAAGCUCCGGCUAACUCCGUGCCAGCAGCCGCGGUAAUACGGGGGGAGCAAGCGUUGUUCGGAUUUACUGGGCGUAAAGGGCGCGUAGGCGGCGUAACAAGUCACUUGUGAAAUCUCCGGGCUUAACCCGGAGCGGCCAAGUGAUACUGUUGUGCUAGAGUGCGGAAGGGGCUACUGGAAUUCUCGGUGUAGCGGUGAAAUGCGUAGAUAUCGAGAGGAACACCUGCGGCGAAGGCGGGUAGCUGGGCCGACACUGACGCUGAGGCGCGAAAGCCAGGGGAGCGAACGGGAUUAGAUACCCCGGUAGUCCUGGCCUUAAACGAUGGAUACUUGGUGUCCGGGGUUACAUAGUCCCCGGGUGCCGGCGCUAACGCAUUAAGUAUCCCGCCUGGGGAGUACGGUCGCAAGACUGAAACUCAAAGGAAUUGACGGGGACCCGCACAAGCGGUGGAGCAUGUGGUUUAAUUCGACGCAACGC
RNAcentral lists this ribosomal RNA (936 nucleotides) under uncultured bacterium. RNAcentral describes it as "bacterial SSU rRNA". It matches the Rfam family "Bacterial small subunit ribosomal RNA", at positions 49 to 962 of the family's 1533-position model. The record is from RNAcentral.